Molecule: ribosomal RNA, 272 nt
Filed under: uncultured bacterium
Lineage: Bacteria
Description: partial 16S ribosomal RNA
Rfam family: Bacterial small subunit ribosomal RNA
Source: RNAcentral
GUUCCUACGGGGGGCAGCAGUGAGGAAUAUUGGUCAAUGGACGGAAGUCUGAACCAGCCAUGCCGCGUGCAGGAAGACGGCUCUAUGAGUUGUAAACUGCUUUUGUACAAGGGUAAACCUGAAUACGUGUAUUCAACUGAAAGUACUGUACGAAUAAGGAUCGGCUAACUCCGUGCCAGCAGCCGCGGUAAUACGGAGGAUGCGAGCGUUAUCCGGAUUUAUUGGGUUUAAAGGGUGCGUAGGCGGGACGGUAAGUCAGCGGUAAAAAUGCG